RNAcentral lists this small RNA (356 nucleotides) under Arabidopsis thaliana (thale cress). RNAcentral describes it as "ATSL024210". The record is from RNAcentral. Lineage: Eukaryota; Viridiplantae; Streptophyta; Magnoliopsida; Brassicales; Brassicaceae.
AAAGUAAUGUAGGACUUAGUGACUACAUUAGUUAAUUAAAACUAUAACAUCGACUGAACAAUAAUUAUAUGUUUGUUGGUCCUUUGGUCGAGACAGAACCAGAAGAAAUUGAGAUGUAUGUAGUGAAAGAGUUGGUGAUAGAACUAAUAGUGAUUAAUUUGUUCAGAGACAGAGUUGUGUACAUGUAAACUAUGAAGAUAAUGUUGGUGGACUGAGAAUGUAUAAAUUUAACAGUGGCUAUGUGGUUAGUCUUUUGAUUUUCUUUAAAAUUUCAUAUGUAUUGAAGAAACAAUAUGUAUUUUCAAGAAAAUCAAAAGACACAGACAACAAAGUUAGUGAUUGAGAUGGAAAUGUCA